GUCUGCACGCGCCAGCAUCAAUCCCAGCACUCGCCUCGUGUCACUCACUCCCGCAUCCUUUGAGAUCUCGCCCUGUCUUUCUCAAACAGGGGAAAACUGCGAGCGGCAAAAGCAGCUCCGGUUUCCAGUUCUGCUCCCUGCAGAAAACCCUCCCCUUUUCUCCCAAAAUGCUUAGCUGGUAGCUGAAGCCUCAGAGCACCCAUCCAAUUUAGCAAUUCAAGCUUCACCGGAAAAGAAAAUAGCCUUCAGAUUGUUUGUUCUCUUUCCUUCGCGGAGCAUCUGGUUGUUUGUGGAUGCUUGGGUCCAGAGGCGGGGAAGCGCGAACCUGCUGAGACGACAGAGACAGCUAAUUACCAUGGCCAACGGCAUCGAGAGCAGCUUUCCUCCGUCGAGUGCCGGGCUACAGCAGUCACAUCAAAUGCAGCUUUGAGCUGUCAGCAAGGGAGAAGCCGAACCUGCUCCUCUCCGCAGUGCAUACAAAACUGCUUCCAGCUCACUGGUGGUCUUCGACAGAGCAGGCAAGGCUGCUUCUUUUUGGUCAGCUGAAGAAGUAAAGCGCUUUACCUGCCUGUUCGAAAAGGCAGUGGAUCCUGCUGAUGUGGCUCCUCCACUCCUGCUGACUUCGGAGACCUGCUUGCGCUCACGUGACAGCAAGCAGUGACAGUUUCUUGGCUCUCCCACGGCCGUCCCACCGGUGGGUGAGCGGCUGCUGCCCGAGCCCAGCCUGGCCCCAGGGAGGUGGUGGGAGGCUUCGCGGCUGCGUGCAGCGGCUGCAGAGCUGAGUCCUUCUCCGGGGGAGCUGCAGACCCAGGUAGCAGGCAGGGGAACCAGUGCUCAUCCAAUAUCCUGAGGUAAAAACACAGACGAGACAGUAAAACUGAAGUAUCCCGUGAGAUAAAUUUACAGAGGUCGAUCUGAAGUGGGAGCACAGCGCUGACCUUGGGGUGAAGACAAGUCUUUGGAGGUCUGACAAAACCUCAGUGUCUGGGUGCGUUGUCAGAAUGUAAAAUAGAGUUAAGCUCCUGCUGCCUUUGACUCGUGAGCGUGACUUCAGCAGAAAUGUAUUUGGGAGAGCGGCGUGCUGAGCGGUUCGGGUUAUGGGCUGGCCCUGGACGAGCCGUUUUUGGCAGCAGCCCUGCACCUACGUCGUGCAAGAGUCCAAAACUGGCACUGCUGUGCCGCGCUUCGCUGCUCUGCUGCGGGAAAACUCAAGGAUGGAUCCGACCCUGGAGUUCAGACUCUUAAUGCAUGUAUCCAGAAAGACAUACCUGCUAAUUGGGCAGGAGCAAGUCAGUUUGGAGGGGUGUCACUUCUGUAAUAAGGUUAUGGAGGAACUGGGAUAUGGCACUGAAGAGUCAAAAAGACGAUGGUCCUUUGGACUUGGGAACCACGCUACGAUACUUAGCCAGGCUUGCCCGGGUCAAACCUCUGACUGGCUCUUCAGCAAACAGAGCAGAAAAUAGCAGCAUUCAUUUUUUUCUGGCCCUAGGUUUGGUAAUGGUGGCACAGCCAGUGGUUUUGUGUUAUUUUGAUUGAGUGGCUUCAUUUAAAAUAGGUGUGUGGGGGCGGAUGGGGGUUCGUUGCAUUGGUUUGAGCUCUGCAGGGCUGGACAGCGUUGGUGGGACCAGCCCUGAGCCUGGGCACGGGGCAGUCAGCACGUCGGAGCAGGCUGGCUGCGGUGCUCGGAGGGCGGAGGGAAAGCCGGUGCUGGUGGAGGUUAUUUUAAACAAAACGCGGAGUGGAGACAGGCCAGAAACCACGCUGGAAAAAUCUGUGGGGAGCAGUAGUAAUUCCUCUCGCCCACCAAAGGCUACCUCCUGCGUGUGUGCGCAAACAAUCCCGCCGAACUAGGGGGGCUCGCAGGCAUCGGCGGCGAAGUGGGGCUUGGCACCGGUUUCGCUGUGCUCGCAGGUGGGCCUGGAGAAGUGGUUGCGUUUGUCCCAUCUUCUGCGACCGGGUGGUUAAUGAGGGCUCCGGCUGCUCCUCUCCGAAAUCCUCAGCGAAAGGCUGGGGCAGCAGCUCUGGGCACCACACCUGGGACCUAGGAACUGGGCUGAACCCCCCGGUGUCCGUCUCAGGCACGAGGCAGGGGAGGAUGCCCUUGGCCACCGACAAGCCCUCGCCUUCCUGGCGGGUUGCCUCCUCAGUGCAAAAAUCGAGCAGUGCUCGGCUGCUGUGGCUUGCAAUGCUGAUACUUCAAGGCUGAAGGAGGGCUUGUUCCUGAAAAAAAAUGAACAAGAUUUUCAAAUUACACCAAUUUCUCUCUAAUGGUGUUAUCCCUCCCUAUAAACCUGGCCUGGGUACCUCAACCACUCCCCCAAGGAGCCGAGUGUUUGCGAUGGUCCUGAUGGUCCGAACCUCUCCCCAUGUGUACAGUGCGUGUGCGAAGGACUUUCCCAUUUGUUUGUUUAACUAGCAUCCUGCUGACUGGACAAUUAAGAAUUACCUUUGGGGAUGGGACAGAUGAGGAAGGAGCAAUUUAAAAAAAAAAACGUGUAAGCGGAUACAGAGAAGCAUCAGUAAACUGGAAAGGUAGGUGAAGGAGCAGGGGCCCUACAGCUCUGAGAAAGGCCAAGGGGGAGAGUCCCUCGAGCUGAGUGUUGGCUGGAAGAGGCUGGUAACUCUGGGCAAGGGGACAUGUGGUUGAGGCAGAGAAUUACAACAGCAUGUUCUUGAUAAAGAAAUAGGAUUGCAUCGAGAGACCUGCCUGCAUUGCCAAUUUGUUGUCUUAACAGAAACAACCCACAGAUCUGAAGUUUGAUCACAUCAGAAAGAGCUAAAGUGAUUUAUUGGUGGUUUUGAGGUGAGGAAGUUUGAUAGAUAGGAAGUUGGAAGAGGGCAAGCAACUUGUGCCUAGGAAGCUAGGAAGUCUGUGGCAGCGAGGUUGCACAUGGGUAUCUAACACUCCAAGUGAAUGUGCUAAUUCCUGGAGCAAUCUUUCUCUCUGACAACGACUGGCCUUGAGUGCCCUUUCCUUCUGCAGUAGGGCUGUUGCCAGAGUCCUGCUUUGUGAGUUACUUACUAAAUUUUAUUUAUGUAGUUUAUUUGCUUUGUUGUCUCAUUACAGGGAGAUCCAUCCUUGAGGUCUCUCUGAGUGCUGUCCCCUGGGAUUUAGGUUCAGAUCUUUCCUCUCCCAGGCACCUAGUCACAGGCUUGAGGUGCCAACCGCCUUGUGUAACCGCUGCUGGGAAUUCAGUGGGUUUAGAGCUUGGGAAAGGGUUUUGUGCUGGAGCCUAGGGCAGCUGAUUAAAUGUAACUCAAAAACAGCCACAACCCACACCAGCAUAACAUCAUGUUCCCUGUGGCUGGUCCCAGGAGCAAGAGACCACACUCGUCCUGGCUUGGCAGGAGAUAAGGCUGUGCUGACCUGUUGCCAGCCUGGGGCCAAAGGGAGCAGGUAAGAGACAUUCCUGCACUCUUUCUCUCUGCAGAGGUGCUCAGUUGGGUUUCCCUCCUCUUUCUGUGGGUGAUGAUUUUUUCUUUGUCUGUUUGGUCAGAAACAAAUUGGUAGGAAUGUUAUCUUGGACGCAUCUACCCCUUUUUUGAAUGUGGUUAAAACUGGCAAGCUGGUUGCAAAGUUCGAGGGUGGAGAGCAACCGACAGGCCAUAUCCUUGCAUGAACCUUGCUUCCUGAGCUAAAAAUGGGUCCUACAUCCUUCGCAUCAACUUCGCCUUCUCUUGCCGUCAAUCGGGCAGCUAAUUGCUUGCCGCAAGUAACAAAGUGGUCUGUUCACAGUCUGCCCUGACCGUGUCGAAGGGAAUCCUCCUUCCCUCUCCACCUCUUCUUGUUGUCGCUCUCCGCUCACUCAAACUCUUCCCUCCAGGGUCUUGGAGGUCUGAGGUCUUUGACCCAAGACUUAGCCCUGGGUAGAGUACCUCGCUGUGCCUGGGAGGUGUCCAGCCCUUGUUAUAUUCACUCCUUUGAAGCUGUGUAUCUGCAGCUUACUUAUCUGUACCACUGUUUUUACUCUUCCAAGCCCUUUUAGCGACACCUUCACAGUUGCCUUUGCCUUCACCGUAGGCAUCUGGCAGCACGAAACCAACCAGGGAACAGGAUUCACCCAUAACAUUAAUAAGAUAUUCCCACUCCAUCCCAUCUACCAGAGACACUGGCCGCAGAAGGAGGACUUGCUGGCUGCAAAGGGGGCUUCUUUCCUUUGCCUGGUGUCCCAGCAGCUUUCUUUCAUGUGAGGAGAAUUUUAGCAGUGUGCCAUGACCCCAGGCCUAAAAGCAGCACUGUGGUAUAAAAUGAGUACAGCUAUAGCGCUGUAUAUUGGAAAUGAGCCCGGAUGAAAAAUCCGCAUUUCAAAUGGCUCUGAACUUCAGAGAGAAGUUUUAACUCCAGACCAAGAACUAAUCGGUAAGAUUUUUUUCCCCUGGAUGCGUGUGUCCUCUGCUCAUCACCAAGGUGCUUGGGCACCCAAAGGCCCCUAGCACUGAUGAAAGCCAGACCUGCCAAAUGCUGAGACAUUCAAAAGCUGAUCAGGAUGAUGUGAAUGUUGAACCUAACUGUUUCAUUACCUACUUGACAAUGGUACAAGGGCUGUUUUCGCAGAAGGACAAUCAAUAUAGGGGAUUACGGUUCAUUUUAAGGGCUAGGUAAAAUCCCUAAGUGAGCAGUGUUUGGCCUGGAAUAGCUAAACGAGUUCUUCAUUCAGUUUGGCCUUCGCUCAGAACGAAUGGUUGAGACUCCCCUCCCCAACACCACUUAUUGAAAAUGUAUCUUUGUUUAAAGCCAUAGGGAGUUCAUUAGAGUUGCCUGUCUCUGGGCCACUAAGGAUUAAGGUGUGCAUACAUUAGCCAAAGCAAAAUACAUCAGGCCAAGGAGAGAAAAUAAAAUGGGCUGUAUUCACUGAAGCUGAGUACAAUUGUAUGUUGCCAUACCCCAGUGAAUAUGUCCCUGAAUCUCUUGCAUAUGAUUCUACACAGAAAUAAUUCAGGAAUGAAUAUGGGAUCUAUUUGCAUUUCAGCCUGUGGGACUGUAAGCGUGACUCCCGGCGGAGGUUGCUUGGAAGGGAGCCCACGAAGCCCCACUGAGAUUCCCAUUGAGAUACAUAUAGACCAUUGUGUGUUGCGCAUUAAUGCAGAGUAAUUAUGUCGUACUGGAAACCUUUCAAGUCAGCAUUCAUCAUUCAGAAAUCGUCUUAAACCAGUUUGUGCUGCUCUUGUGCUUGAAAGUGAAUUGUGCAAAAUUGGCAGCCAUAACCACCACUGCAACAGAGCGUAUAAAAGCCCUUUCAUUGUGGAGCUAGUGGUUUUACUGUAACUUCCCUGUCUCAUCAGCGAGCACCAUAAUUCACUGCAAAAAUCUAUAAAUCCUGGAACAUCCUGAGUCUUGGACUCGCUGUGCGUGAGUGACUCCAGCCUGGAGCUGUGGGAUCGUUGCUCCACGUCCCGAGGGUACCAUCGGCAGGCAGACAGCAGGCCUGGGCUGGCGGUCCCGUGCAAGUCGGUCCAGACUGCGCUUCCCAGGUGGUACGGCUGCGCUUCUGGGGCCGGAGUAGGGUGGUAGGAGGAACGUCGUCCUGAGCAGCAGUUCUCUGGCUGAGCUCGUGCAGAGGCGAGCAGGCCAUUUGCAAGUAUCGUGCUGAGAAAACUCUCCAGGGCCUCUGUUGCAGCUGCAACAUGAGAGAGAUGAUAAUGAAUAUCUCCUCUGUUCUGCGGCUUUUUGGGCUAUUCCUGAGUUUGAGGCAGGAUUGCAGUACUCAAAGAGCAAGCCUCCAGCCUCGUGCACCAAAUUAGAUGGUAAAAAUAAUUGUGAAGCAAUUCAUGGCUCAGUUUCAUUAUGUUCUGCUUUUUCUUUCCUUAGCAGUUGCAGCGUGCUUCAGACCUAUGAGAACAGCCUGAAGAUUCCUUUGAGAGAGGGUAGAAAUAAAGAACUUGGAAGAUUUAGGUUGAUGAAGAUCUUCCAAUUCAAACUGGUUUGAAAUGCAGUUCUCUGUUAUUUCAACAUCCAAUGUGCCAAUGUAAAAAUACCCUUCCAGGUAACUAGUGGUGGGAAGGAUUGAUAUGAUGAUAAAACCCUCUGAAACCAUAACUUAGAGAUAAAAUACUGUCCCCACUAAAGUCAAUGCUAAAACCACCAUGGACCUCAUUACAGUCAGAUUUUCACCAGGCUCUGAUUUUAGUGGGGCUGCUCACAUGCUUAUAGGAAGCCUAUGAAUAAGCUCUUGCAGACUUGGGGCCUUAACUCACAGUCCCAGCUGCUGGAGGUGGGAAAGAUAUAUUAGUUCAGCUUUUUGCCAUGUGGAAGGCUGCUCUCUACACGACAUUAAUUGUUCUCUGCCUAGCUUAAUAAGAGUCUGUUUUCAGCAGCCCAAUAUAACCAUGUAAUCGGAAGAAUUUCUGUUUAUUGUUAAAAUGUUUUCAUGCCUAGAAAAUGAGGACUUCUGGAAUGCGUCUGAUGGCAACACGACAUGGGCAUCAGGAGCAAGUGUAAAGGUCUGGAGUGCUGAACUCCGAUUUGCUGUGCAGCCAUGGCAUGCCCUGCUCUGCCUUCUGCUGCAACCAAGGCAUAAUUUAAUUUCAGAUUAAGGAGCCUAGGGCAGCAAGGACUUUUCAUUACAAGCACAGAAAUGGCAUGCUGAUUAUGCUGCCUGCUUGCGUGUGCUUUGUGUGUGCGAGUGCACAAGCAUAACGGGCGAUCCACCACGGUAGGAAAUGAUAAACAGCUGGGACAUGUCCAGAGCACAUGCGAGGCUCCUGCGGGGAGGGCGAGCCGUCAGAUGUGCCCGUGUUACGGCUUUCCCGCAGCAGGGAUGGCACAGAAAAUACCUCAGAAACACCCUUCUCCCCGGGAUAAUCCCAUGCCGGCUGGCCAGACCACUCACUGCAGCUACCACCACGCCAGCUGGCAUGUCAGGAAGGGAAAGACCGUCCAACCUUUGGGGUACCGACUUGCAAUUUAGGAGGUGUAGGUGCACAUCCUUUCCCCUCCUCAGCCCUGGUCUCUCAUGGGAGCUGUGCUGGAGGCAGCUGGGCUCUGCGAGACGCCAGAAAACAAGUGGAAAGCCCCCAACUACAGCUGAUGGCUUUUAAUUAGGCAGCACCUCCUUGGUUAAAUUAGUGGGUGCUCGCCUGGUUCAUCCUGCCUGAACCCCCCCCCCAGGCUCCAGCCUGGGGUCCAGCGGGUCUCACCUGGCUCUAAUUAGCACUGGAAGAAAGCGAAUGAAGUCCUCUCGGGAAGCAGUGUCAGAAACGGGCAUUUUUCAAGUUUUUCUUUCGCCAAUACAUGUCGCCGCCCUGGAAGGACAAGUGGGGUGUCAGGCACACGGGGCAGGGCCCCUCCGAGCGUCACGGCGAGUUGUCGCGCUCGGCGGCCGGGCGGCACGUGCAGGAAGGCUGCGGCAGCGGCGCGGGCAUGCGUGCCGCUAGCUGACCAGCCGCGGAUUUACUUGUUUAUUUUCCAGUAAGUGCAUAUGAGCCAGGAAAGUUACUGUUUUGGCUGCUUCUCCCUUCACCCUUGAAUGGUUUUUCAUCUUUAGGCAGCCACCUGUGUGCGGGGCACAAGGGACUCAUUGCUUUUUUCCAUUGCAUCCUGCACGUUUCCAAGGGGAGACCUCUCCCCUCCGUAAGCGUUCAAUGCAGCUCUUAUGCGCUGGCUCCAUAAAAAGCAGUAAAUACAGCACAGAAGCACGCUUUGUGCCUUCUCCUGCCGCAGAAAAGUGUUUUAGAGCAACUAGAAUUUCAAAGCUUCCUCCGAUAGGACGUUUCGUUCCCCGUGGGAUUUUGGGCACCGUGAGGCCUCGCUAACUCAGCAAAUGUAUUUACGUUUGUGAAGCGGAGAGCCACAAGGCAGGAAUUCAGAGCAAGCCCAACUUCUCAGCGCAGAACCAAUAACAUUACCAGCACCUUAGGGCAGCUGCAAACAAGGGCUUCAUUUAUAGACGGGAAAGUGUAAUACAAAGUGAUUCUCGGCCACAGGAAAAGGGAAAAUAGCCCAGGUAAACGUGUAGUGGGAACUGCAAACUGGAUUCUUUCUGAACGGUUUAAUAAUUCUUUGUUUUUCCGCGAAAGCCUUCCGGUAUUAUGAGUAAUAACCCCCAUUCCUACAUGCUAAAGUAAUUAGAUUGCAAAAUGCGAUGGCUUUAGAAUACAUCUAUGGCUUUUGUUAUUUACUGUUUUCUUUUAGGUUUGUUUCUUUACCCCCAUGAUGAGUCUAAUUGAAAUCCAAAUGAAAUCAGAGCGUAAAAUAAAUGGUGACAAGCUGGGUA
Molecule: long non-coding RNA, 8213 nt
Organism: Dromaius novaehollandiae (emu)
Lineage: Eukaryota; Metazoa; Chordata; Aves; Casuariiformes; Dromaiidae
Exons: 3
Source: RefSeq, a predicted model, not a curated record